GCCCUAUUAGAUCUCUCCAUGUCCAUUUAAGAGAGAGAGCCAGACAGGUCCAUCCACAGGACCACCAGAGAGCCACAGCACCAGCGGCAGCCACCCAAAGCCCAGGAGGCCAGGACCGCCUCACCGCCAAUGGCCGACCGCGUGUACCCCGCCGCCAAGCCGAACCCGCCUCCAGGCGCGGCGGGCAACAGCAACGGCGCGCAGGCGUCGUCGUUCCCUGCGCCCAAGUCGCAGAUGUACCAGCGGCCCAUCUACCGUCCUCAGGCCCCCGCGAAGCGGCAGCGCGGGCGGUCGUGCCGGUGCAGCUUGUGCUGCUGCUUCUGCUGGGCGCUGGUGGUGGUGAUCCUGCUGGCGUUCGUGGCCGCGGUGUGCGGCGGCGUCUUCUACCUGCUGUACCGGCCGCAGCGGCCGUCGUUCAGCGUGUCGUCGGUGCGGCUGGCGUCGCUGAACCUGACGUCGUCGGCGACGGCGCCCGUGCUGAGCGACGCCAUCACGCUGACCGUGACGGCCCGGAACCCGAACAAGAAGAUGGUGUACCUGUACGACGACCUGACCCUGCUGGUGGCCACGGCCGCCAACGCCGUGCCGCUGGGGAGCGCCACGGUGCCCGGGUUCGCGCACGCGGCCGGCAACACCACCGUGCUGACCGCCACCGUCUCCGCCAGCGCGGUGGGCGUGGACCCCAGCGGCGCCAGCUCCGACAUCAAGCGGUCCGGCGGCGGGUCGUUCUCCGUGGUGGUGGACGCGGACACCAGCGCCGGCGUCCGGGUGGGCGGGCUCAAGACGAAGAAGAUCGGCAUCCAGGUGCACUGCGAGGGCAUCAAGCUGACGGCACCGCCUCCGCCUCCGCCGGCGCCCAAGAGGGCCAAGGGGAAGAACAGCACCGCCGCGCUCGCGCCUGCUCUGGCGCCGUCCGCCGCCGACGCGACGCCGGCGAAGACGGCCACGGUGAGCACGGCGGCGCACUCGUGCAAGGUUAGGGUCCGCGUCAAGAUCUGGAAGUGGACUUUCUAGGUACGGGCAGCGGGAGGAGAGGAGACACCUUUAGGGGCUGCAGCGCGCAAAAAAAAAAGAUUUUCGCUUUCAUUGCUAUUUAUUUAUCUAUAUAUAUAAAUAUAUAUACGGCGAUAAGUUUGUUAUCACCAUGAUUACUAUAUAUCGGAGCGGGCAGGAGUAUAUGUAUUGUAGGACCAAGACAUGCGUGCGUCGGUGUAAAUUCAUUCGCCCAGGCAUUUUCUUUUCCUUUUUGCUUCAACCAUUUUUCACCCCUGUGAUUGAUCAGUGGAACGGAUGAUGUAUAAUUACGUGUGAUUGUAGACUGUGAUUCGAUUUUAUUUGAGCCUGAGAGAGAAGGCUGGGCCGCUGAACCACAGCUGGUGGUGAGAGGGACACGUUGAGUGGCGGCAAUUGUAAAACUCAUCACGAGUGUCGGCACCUUGUCAGAAAAAGAAGAAAAGAAAUAGUGUCGGUAGGGGUGUAAUCGGAUCGAAUACGGACGGAUAUCAAUGAAAUCAUAUUUGUUUUCAUAUUUU
RNAcentral lists this unclassified non-coding RNA (1532 nucleotides) under Zea mays. RNAcentral's name for it is "misc RNA Zm00001eb284140". The record is from RNAcentral. Lineage: Eukaryota; Viridiplantae; Streptophyta; Magnoliopsida; Poales; Poaceae.